CAGCGGUGGAGGCAGAACUAAGGUUCACUUCAUGGAGGCAGGGUAUCUACAUACAUUAUUUAGAAAUAUUUGAUCAAGACAGCUUGUCUCCCGUCACCCAUUUCUUUAUUAACUCAAACACUUUUAGCAGUAAGGAUUCACGUCUGCUUUUACUAUGACGGUUGUGUUAUGUUACUGAAGGGAUGCAUCCCCAAAAGUUCACCAUUCCGAUUUCUGUGGUACAGUAAAAGUAUUCUGACUUAAGAGUCAGGAACCUGCAAGAGUUCCCUACUGCCACCAUUAUAUUUCACCACCAUUACGUUGCCUAGCUGUGGUAUAUUAGACAAUGCAUUUAGACAACCCAUUUACCCAUGACAGAAUUUGAGACAUUAUAAUUUCAGAUGAUUUAUUCCAUAAACGGAAAUCCCUUGAGAAAGAAAGAAAAAGAAAUAAGACAGAGUUUAUUGAAGUGACCAGAAAAAAUGAUUGUUAUCUGCAAAAUCCUUUUCAAUGAAGCAAAAGUACAGGACCUGAGGAAAAAACGCGUGCUUAAUUUGAAAGCUCAUUGCCUAAAGCACAGCCUUCACAUCAUCAGACUCUGACUCUGUGGAGGCAUUUACAACUCGGGCUUUUACGUACCUGAUCGCACAGCAAUAUAAUCCUUGUCUCUACCCAAGCAACUGAAUUCUGUCCUGGGGGAAGGAAAUCCUUUCCUCCUGGAGAAAGACCUGUCUGUCUCCAUUUGAACACUCAUUUCAACACUCAAGAUCUAGAGAUGUGACAAAGAGGUGGUUGUUGAGCAGGCAAGUGUAAUGUUUAUGUCCCAGGGCAGAGCUCUUCAUGCAGAUGACGGACCCCGUGGUGUUGCGUGGCUGAGAGGAUGCAGCUUCUUAGGACUCUGCACCAGACGGCUGCAAAAUGGGAGCCCUUAACUUCAGUGUGCAGAAGCAGAUUUAGGCAGACUGCCACACCUUACCUCCUGGAGAGAUUGGAUUUUAUAGUUUCAUUGAGGUAUAACUGAUAGACAAAAAAUUACACAAUUUAACGUAUAAAUCUUCAUAGGUUUGGACCUACACAUGCACCUGUAACACAAUGACCAUAACCAAGGUCCUAAACAUAUCCAUCCUCUCCAAAACCUUCCUUGUGUUCUUUCCACACACCCUUGUUUUUACAGAAUAGGAAACUGAGGUUGAAUCAUGUACACUGACUUGUAUAAACACAGGCAGGACUAGCAUUUUGGAAUCAGAAGUGAAGACGCAGAUUGUAGGAGUGACACGGCUCAGAAGGAGAGCAAGGUCUACUUGAUUGGAGGUGGCUCGCAGCUGAGCAUCAUGCAGUUGGCAUUUGGACACAGAAGGCAGCAGUCUCUGCUUUUCGUCUUGGUAGCACGAUGACCCCCAGCCAGGUUACUUAACCUCCGUACAUCAUGGUUUCUCCAGCUACAAAAAGAUGUAGAAAUCAUGUUCUCUACCUCCCUGGAAUGUUGUAGGAAAUAGAUGAGAUAAAAAAGUCGCAUGCAUCCAGGAAAGCUGAGUCCUCACGGUUCCCUGAGGUCAGGGGUCCUGCUUUUCGUGCGACUUUUUGACGUUCCAACCACCCUAGGACCAUGCACAAAUGGUCAUUCAAAUACAAAAUGGUACAAGAACUUCUCGAGUUCACCCAAGACAGAGCAUCAUAAGAGAGGCAGCGAAGACUGGAAAGUAAUUACUUGGAAAUCACUGCUCCUUCCUUCCCAACUGAGGUCUCACAAGUGCUUCCCUAAAUGGGAUCUCACGUACCUCUCUGUCUAUCAGAGAGGUUUGAUCCCCAAACAACAAGCACAGGGGAAAGGACUUACCCAGAGUCCCAGUGUUCUGUGACAGCAUUCUUCUGCAAAGCCUCUUCUUUCUGAGCUAUGGUGCACAGUAUUAUUCUCGAGAAACUACCAUAGAAGAUAAAAAGUGGGAUAGGGAAAGGAUAUGAAAUAAAGUGAAAGGGGGUGACGGUUUAGAUGGUUUUGUUUUUGAAACCCUAGGGAACUGGUCCAGUGCUUGUUUCCUGUUUUCCUAAAUUAUCUGACCAAUCAGUCCAACAAAGAGAAAUGACACAGUAGUCAAUACAUAAUGGAAACUUAUACGUUUCCCUUCCACUUAACAUUUUCCUAUCAUUACACAGUCAUGCUAUUUGGAUUAUGUCAAGGGAAGCUUCUUUAAAGGAAGGAUAAGUAUGGGAUAAGAAAGGAACUCACACAAUUGCGUACCACAUGUACUAUGUGCUGUGUAUGACACUUGAAAUAUUUUGCUCUUUUGCUUCUCAGAACAAUCGUCUCGUAUAGCUAUAAAGGUUCCCAUUUUAUAAAUCAGACAAAGCAAACUCAGAAAUAUGUAAUUUCUAAACAAGUUUCCACAAGUGUAGAGAUCACAGCAAUCAUAAUCCCAAGCCAUAGCUCUCCUCAUAUAACAAACUGGGUCCUUUUUACUUGGUGGUCAUUCAGGGCUUAGGCAUAAGUGUUUUUGAACCGUGUAUGUUCUCCUUGACGAUUCACGCAUGUAUGGAUGGGUACUGUAGGCGAGGAAGAACUAUUCCCCUACCCUCUGGGUUCUUCCGGCUGGUCUAUGAAUUCAAUUGACAGGAGACAGAAUAACAGGAGAAAAUCAAAUGAAGUUUAACAAAAUGUAUACAUGGGAGAAACCCAGGAAAACUGAGUCACUCGCCAGAAUGGCAGAAGCCACCACCUUAAAUACCAUCUUCAACUAAGGACAGAGGAGGAUGUCUGGGGUUGUGGUUUGGGACUUCAAAGGGGAGGAAGGUAAUUUACAUGGAGAUGGAAAAGCAAAUGCUUGGUACAUAAAUGGUGACCAUGCCUUGUAAAGACAAUGAGAGACAGAGAGAGGACGUGGAUCAAGUGGGCCCUGCCAGGUUCCUCCAUGUUGACCUCACCUAGUUCAUAUUAUACAAUAGUGAUCUUAUGGUAUUAGCUCCUUCCUGGAAUAGCCAUUCUAUCUUAAAUUCUCUUAGACAGUUAGGGGGGAAGGGCAAAGUUUUUUUCCGAGUCUUUUGUUCUGAAAAAUCAUCAAGCCAAAGAGACACAUUUUGGGGGGGCAGAGCUCCUACAACAAAACACCAAAAUGUCUAAACGGACCACGGAUGAAGAAAUUAAAAAGGCCACUAAUCAAAAGAAAAUGUGUUCUAACUCACUAAUAAUUUAAGGAGUGCAAAUGAAAGCAUCUAGAUAUCCUUUUACCACCUAUCAUCUGUCAAACAUUAAAUAGAGGAAAAACAAGAAGGAACAAAAAUUUUACAAAUACAAAUUUGAAAACGGGCUCUGUGUGUGUUUGUGUGUAUGUCAGAGACAGAGAGAGAAACAGAGAGAGAGACUCAACGUUAGUAAAAGUCAAGGAAAUGGAAACAGAAAUAAAUUUAAAUGUUAUGAACAAUAGGUAUGGAAGUAGUUAAAGAAUGAGACGGCUCGGACACUUUUUGAGGAAGUUUGAACUAUUGAAAUCAAGUCCCAGGGAAGAUGUUUAAACACAUAAUUGAGGGAAAUCUUUUCACAUGUGCAAAAGUAAGCUGGUAAGGGGCUGUUUGCUGCAGCAGAGCAUGAAAGGGAAGAGGAAAAAUAUAGGAAGCAACCUACAUGUCCAUCAGGACAGGAUAACUACACGAGGAAAGGGUCACAAAACCAUCUCCACUCCUCUAUGGGCUUCAAGGCAAAAUGGAGAAAACUUUAAUUCCAGAGUGAGCUGCUAAUCAGGAGAUAGAGAGUGGUCUCCCUGAUUAAUUCAACCCCCCAAACUCCCCUCAUCUGAGUAUUGGUCAUAGCGGAUGGUAAGUUGAAUAGUUGUUAAGAUGAAAGGAGAUGGAACAUCAAGUACAAUUUCUCAAAGCUGUUCUGUACACAUUACUUUCCAUCCCUCUAGAUCGCCUGUCCCAAGGGCAACACCUGAGCUUCUGCUGAGCCCCACUGAUUCCGGGAUCAGCCAAGGGAUGUGGCCCGACACCCAGGUCUCUUGGCACCAAGAGUGGGAUUUCAUGUCCUCUGUCAUCUUCACCACUCAGAGGGGUUGCUGAGUGACUACUCCUGGGGCCACAUUAUCAGGGGAGUGUGAUGGACCAUUUCUCCAGCCCUGGAAGCCCAUUUCUGAAAGGGGGGGCUGCUCUGUGUCCUCUGUGGAGGGCGAGGGAUGGAGCCUCAUUCCUGUCCUGACACGUAUCUGGAGAGGGGACUUCAGCUCGGUCAGCCUGAGCUUGGCUAUCUGUGAAGUGGGACUCAGGACACCUUUGCCACAGAGCCGUCCUCAGGUGUAAAUGAGAAACCCUGCCCAGAGUACACAGCAUGUGGUGGGACUUCAGUGGCCCUUUCAUUGUUGGGACACUGCAGCAGGGGCAGGCUGAGCCUCGGGCCUGAGGCAGGCACUGUGAGGAGUCACUUCUCAUUGUUUCCUGUAUGAGAAUAUACAUAUCUUUAUGAAAGACGCAAGUAUCUCUCUGAUAUGCCGUGACUUCAAAGUUUUGGAGAAACAAGAUUCUCUACUUUCUUGGAUGUUUCAGAAGCUCCUAAGAGCUGCCCCACAUCGUGCCUCUGCGCAGACCCUAAUCCAGUUCCUCACCUGCUGAGCUCAGUGAGACGUGAUACCAGGGCAGCAAGGUGUGGCAUUUGCCUUACUGCUGCUCUGGACUGACCUGUGUCUUAAUACAUUGAUAGGAAAAUUCUGGACCCGCCCCAGUCACCAGUGCAGGGGCCCUCAGAUCGUGCAUGAUCCAGCCACGUCAUGCCAGGAUUUCAGCCAUCUGCUGCCUCCCUGACAGGAAAAAAUCCAAAAAUUACUAGGAUUCUGUGACACAUCCCUCCUUGGUCCCCUCAUACUCAUGCCACCACAAGCCUCUCUCUCUUUAUCUCUCUCUUCUCCUUCAAAAUCAAAGUUCCAGAAAGUGGUUUUUGCAUUCCCUGCUAACAUUCUUCACUUCCCACUGACCCCUUAUCUCACCGCACUAUCAAGUCUGUCCCCAAGUCGGCAAUGAAUGGGCUCCCACCAAGGUCACAGUUACCUUUUUGUCACUAGCUCCAGAUAUUUGGUAUAAAUAUAUUAACAUACUGAGUGCUACGUUAAAAG
This is a long non-coding RNA of Equus caballus (horse), 5072 nucleotides long. Lineage: Eukaryota; Metazoa; Chordata; Mammalia; Perissodactyla; Equidae. The record is from Ensembl.